AUAAAAGCUAUGAAUAGGAAGAGUAUUUAAAAGGAUACCUUACAGAGAGCAAAUGUUGGUGGAAAUUUGCAGUUUUACUUUUAAAGAAAAUCACCUAUGAGCUAAAAAUUGAAAUUUUAGUAGGUUUAUUCGUAAUUCUGCGUUAAAGAAUAGAGUAUAAAAUGUACUUGAAUUAAUAACACUUUAGGUGGUAUAGCGAAUUUAACUUCGUCCUAACG
Molecule: non-coding RNA, 218 nt
Filed under: Clostridium acetireducens
Lineage: Bacteria; Bacillati; Bacillota; Clostridia; Eubacteriales; Clostridiaceae
Description: T-box sequence
Rfam family: T-box leader
About the family: Uncharged tRNA acts as the effector for transcription antitermination of genes in the T-box leader family.
Source: RNAcentral